Molecule: long non-coding RNA, 400 nt
Organism: Nilaparvata lugens (brown planthopper)
Lineage: Eukaryota; Metazoa; Arthropoda; Insecta; Hemiptera; Delphacidae
Exons: 3
Source: RefSeq, a predicted model, not a curated record
UAGCUAUUUUCCAUUAAACAUUAUAGCUGCUGAAUCUAUCCAACAGUUGAGCUGUCUUGACUGCACACUCUGUUUAAAGCAAGCUUCUCCUGACAUUGAGUUGAUGAUUAACCAGCAGAACAAGAUGAAUCCUACCUCACUGAGUUCGUUUGAUGGAAAUGGACCCAUGUAGCAGAGCACUCGAGAAUUUGAGAGAUUCAUGAUGCUGAUGUUGUCCUCGGAAGCUGUCUGAAGUAGAACGUGCUAAUCUUCGACCGAGAGGAUAAUUGGAGCAUAUCUUCCAAGGUUGUCUCUCACUACACUUGCAUAUGAGAGAGAGAGUUUCUUGUUGUGUUUUACCAGUACAUGGAAUCUCAAAGUGAGUAUUAUUAUUUCUUGCUUUCAUAUUACAGAAUCAAAC